UACGUAGGGUGCAAGCGUUGUCCGGAAUUAUUGGGCGUAAAGAGCUCGUAGGCGGUCUGUCGCGUCUGCUGUGAAAAACUCGGGGCUUAACCCCCGGGCCUGCAGUGGGUACGGGGCAGACUAGAGUGCGGUAGGGGGAGACUGGAAUUCCUGGUGUAGCGGUGGAAAUGCGCAGAUAUCAGGAGGAACACCGGUGGCGAAGGCGGGGUCUCUGGGGCCGUAACUGACGCUGAGGAGCGAAAAGCAUGGGGGAGCGAACAGG
RNAcentral lists this ribosomal RNA (262 nucleotides) under uncultured bacterium. RNAcentral's name for it is "partial 16S ribosomal RNA". It matches the Rfam family "Bacterial small subunit ribosomal RNA", at positions 524 to 776 of the family's 1533-position model. The record is from RNAcentral.